RNAcentral lists this ribosomal RNA (481 nucleotides) under uncultured bacterium. RNAcentral describes it as "SSU rRNA". It matches the Rfam family "Bacterial small subunit ribosomal RNA", at positions 26 to 518 of the family's 1533-position model. The record is from RNAcentral.
AGAAUCAACGCUGGCGGCGUGCCUAACACAUGCAAGUCGAACGAGAAAGGGGAGCAAUCCCUGAGUAAAGUGGCGACCGGGUGAGUAACACGUGACUAACCUACCCUCGAGUGUGGAAUAACAUCGGGAAACCGAUGCUAAUACCGCAUAACAUCGGCGCUUUUAAGAGAUGCCGAUCAAAGGAGCAAUCCGCUUGAGGAGGGGGUCGCGGCUGAUUAGCUAGUUGGCGGGGUAACGGCCCACCAAGGCGAAGAUCGGUAGCCGGCCUGAGAGGGGCGCGACGGACCGACGACCUGGAACGUGAAACACGGUCCAGACUCCUACGGAGGCAGCAGUGGGGAAUUUUGCGCAAUGGGGGAAACCCUGACGCAGCAACGCCGCGUGGAGGAUGAAGCCCCUUGGGGCGUAAACUCCUUUCGACCAAGACGAUAAUGACGGUACUGGUGGAAGAAGCACCGGCUAACUCUGUGCCAGCAGCCGC